CGAGAAUGAUACUAAUUAUGAAGAAGAAGUGGGAGGUUGCUGAUGAGUUUGACAGCGACUUUGAUGAAGAUGAUACUCCAGGUAAUGAAACAUAAUGACACUUAACACUCCCUUUUGGAAGAAUACCUUCUAAUAGAGAGAGAUGAAGAAAGCUCCGAGAUUUCCAGAAGUGGAGAGGUUUCUCUUUUUCCUCACCUUUUUCAAAUGAAAAAGAGGCUUUGGGAGUCAUGGGAGAGGAUAUGAAGGAUACAAAGGUGUCCACGGAUGGCAAAUUAGUCCUCGAUUUCAUAGAAGCCAUUCAUGCUGUUGAAAGAAACCAGGCUGAAUUAGAUGCUCGCAUAUAUAGUGAAGAAAAGAGACUGUUGAAGGUAGAAAAUUGAUCCAAAACGGUCAAUGCUGUUUGAUGAAGGAUACAUUCGGGGAGUUUCGAAGGAUUCAAUCUACAUGAAGACACUUUUGGGGUUGGAACUGGUGCUCCCGUCUAUUUGGCUGCUGUUCUUGAGUACUUGGCAGCUGAGGUUUUGGAGCUGGCUGGGAAUGUUGCUAGAGACAA
Molecule: RNA transcript, 553 nt
Organism: Magnolia sinica
Lineage: Eukaryota; Viridiplantae; Streptophyta; Magnoliopsida; Magnoliales; Magnoliaceae
Gene name: histone H2A.1-like
Exons: 4
Source: RefSeq, a predicted model, not a curated record